UACAGAGGGUGCGAGCGUUAAUCGGAAUUACUGGGCGUAAAGCGUGCGUAGACGGUUAUUUAAGUCGGAUGUGAAAGCCCCGGGCUCAACCUGGGAAUUGCAUUCGAGACUGAAUAGCUAGGGUGCGGUAGAGGGAAGCGGAAUUUCCGGUGUAGCGGUGAAAUGCGUAGAUAUCGGAAGGAACAUCAGUGGCGAAAGCGGCUUCCUGGACCAGCACCGACGUUCAGGCACGAAAGCGUGGGGAGCAAACAGGAUUAGAUACCCUGGUAGUCCACGCCAUAAACGAUGAGGACUAGACGUUGGAGGGGUAAGCCUUUCAGUGUCGUAGCUAACGCGCUAAGUCCUCCGCCUGGGGAGUACGGCCGCAAGGUUG
RNAcentral lists this ribosomal RNA (373 nucleotides) under uncultured prokaryote. Its description in RNAcentral is "bacterial SSU rRNA". It matches the Rfam family "Bacterial small subunit ribosomal RNA", at positions 524 to 896 of the family's 1533-position model. The record is from RNAcentral.